RNAcentral lists this ribosomal RNA (427 nucleotides) under uncultured bacterium. RNAcentral describes it as "partial 16S ribosomal RNA". It matches the Rfam family "Bacterial small subunit ribosomal RNA", at positions 355 to 774 of the family's 1533-position model. The record is from RNAcentral.
UGGGGAAUUUUGGACAAUGGGCGCAAGCCUGAUCCAGCAGUGCCGCGUGCAGGAUGAAGGCCUUCGGGUUGUAAACUGCUUUUGUACGGAACGAAACGGCGAGCUCUAAUACAGUUUGCUAAUGACGGUACCGUAAGAAUAAGCACCGGCUAACUACGUGCCAGCAGCCGCGGUAAUACGUAGGGUGCAAGCGUUAAUCGGAAUUACUGGGCGUAAAGCGUGCGCAGGCGGUUAUGUAAGACAGAUGUGAAAUCCCCGGGCUUAACCUGGGAACUGCAUUUGUGACUGCAUAGCUAGAGUACGGUAGAGGGGGAUGGAAUUCCGCGUGUAGCAGUGAAAUGCGUAGAUAUGCGGAGGAACACCGAUGGCGAAGGCAAUCCCCUGGACCUGUACUGACGCUCAUGCACGAAAGCGUGGGGAGCAAACA